Molecule: ribosomal RNA, 788 nt
Filed under: uncultured bacterium
Lineage: Bacteria
Description: bacterial SSU rRNA
Rfam family: Bacterial small subunit ribosomal RNA
Source: RNAcentral
AGAGUUUGAUCAUGGCUCAGAAUGAACGUUGGCGGCGUGGAUUAGGCAUGCAAGUCGAGCGAGAACCCGCAAGGGGGACAGCGGCAAACGGGGUAGUAACGGGUAGGUGACGUACCCUCGGGUCGAGGAUAGCCACGGGAAACUGUGGGUAAUACUCGAUAAUCUCCUGGAGCGUGAUAGUUUCGGGAGCAAAGGUGUGAUUCCACCUGGGGAGCGGCCUGCUUCGUAUUAGCUAGUUGGUGAGGUAACGGCUCACCAAGGCGACGAUGCGUAGGGGGUGUGAGAGCAUGACCCCCACCACUGGGACUGAGAUACUGCCCAGACACCUACGGGUGGCUGCAGUCGAGAAUCUUCGGCAAUGGGCGCAAGCCUGACCGAGCGACGCCGCGUGUGGGAUGAAGGCCCUUGGGUUGUAAACCACUGUCAGAGGGGAUGAAGUUCAUGAGGGCAAUCUCUCAUGAUUGACAUAGCCUCAGAGGAAGCACGGGCUAAGUUCGUGCCAGCAGCCGCGGUAAUACGAACUGUGCAAACGUUAUUCGGAAUCACUGGGCUUACAGGGUGCGUAGGCGGCUUGUUAAGUAGGGUGUGAAAGCCCCCGGCUCAACCGGGGAAUGGCGCCCUAAACUGGCGAGCUAGAGUGAGAUAGGGGUGUGUGGAACUUCCGGUGGAGCGGUGAAAUGUGUUGAUAUCGGAAGGAACGCCGGUGGCGAAAGCGACACACUGGAUCUUGUCUGACGCUGAGGCACGAAAGCCAGGGGAGCGAACGGGAUUAGAUACCCCAGUAGUCC